GAGUUAAGAGUGAUAUUUGUCAUCCCAUUGAUUGCCAGGAUUCAUUUGGAUAUUCUGGCUGCCUAGAUUGUUGUUUUCAUCUUUCCUCAUAUACUCCCCACCCACAGUUGCAUAUCUGAAAGCAGUGACACUUCUAGAUAGAGGAGGAAAAAGGAUCGUUUAAAUUUCUUAACAGUGAUGCUGGGGUACUAAUAGGCUCUAAAAUUCCUCCUGGCCAGGAUGGCUGCUUU
Molecule: small RNA, 230 nt
Filed under: Sus scrofa (pig)
Lineage: Eukaryota; Metazoa; Chordata; Mammalia; Artiodactyla; Suidae
Description: 7SK RNA (ENSSSCG00070012141.1)
Source: RNAcentral